This 487-nucleotide ribosomal RNA is filed under the name Tubulanidae sp. MCZ IZ 45651. Its description in RNAcentral is "partial 16S ribosomal RNA". It matches the Rfam family "Bacterial large subunit ribosomal RNA", at positions 1831 to 2597 of the family's 2925-position model. Lineage: Eukaryota; Metazoa; Nemertea; Palaeonemertea; Tubulaniformes; Tubulanidae. The record is from RNAcentral.
AGUUUAUUGAAUAUUUAGUAGAUAUUUUCUGCCCAGUGAGUUUAUAUUUUAACGGCCGCGGUAUUUUGACUGUGCAAAGGUAGCAUAAUCAUUUGUUUUUUAAUUGUUGACUGGAAUGAAUGGAGUGACAUAGGAAUAUUUGUCUCUUAUUUUUUUUUUGAAUUUUCUUUAUAAGUGAAGAAGCUUAUAUUUUUAAUAAAGACGAGAAGACCCUAUUGAGUUUUAUUUUUGUUUUAUAAUUUUGUAUUUUAUUUUAUUUUUGUAAAUUUAGUUGGGGCAACUAGGGAGGAAUGUUGUAGUAUUUAUUUUCUUUUAGUAUAUUUUUAUCCAGGAUUUUUGAAUUAAGAAUAAGUUACCAUAGGGAUAACAGCGUAAUUUUUUUGGAGAGUUCUUAUCGAUAAAAUAGUUUGCGACCUCGAUGUUGGACUAAAGUUACCUAGGGGUGUAGAUUUUCCUUUUGGUAGGUCUGUUCGACCUUUAAUUCUUU